UUCUUGAUUGGAUGGGUGGUGGUGCAUGGCCGUUCUUAGUUGGUGGAGUGAUUUGUCUGGUUAAUUCCGUUAACGAACGAGACCUUAACCUGUUAACUAGUACUCGUGUCCAAAACAGGAGUUACUUCUUAGAGGGACUAAUGGAUUGAAGCCAUUGGAAGUUUGAGGCAAUAACAGGUCUGUGAUGCCCCUAGAUGUACCGGGCCGCACGCGUUCUACAAUGACUUGUGCAACAAGUCCUAUCCUGGCUCGAGAGAGUACGGGUAAUCUUUAUAAUGCAAGUCGUAUUAGGGAUCGAUCUUUGGAAUUAUAGAUCUUGAACAAGGAAUACCUAGUAAGUGUUCGUCAUCAGCGAGCACUGAUUACGUCCCUGUCGUUUGUACACACCGCCCGUCGCUCCUACCGAUUCCGAGUGGUGAGGUGAAAUUUGUGGACCUAGUGGCUCUUGAGGCUGUUGGGGAAGCAACUUAAACCUUAUCACUUAGAGGAAGGAUAAGUCGUAACAAGGUAACC
Molecule: ribosomal RNA, 513 nt
Filed under: uncultured eukaryote
Lineage: Eukaryota
Description: bacterial SSU rRNA
Rfam family: Eukaryotic small subunit ribosomal RNA
Source: RNAcentral